GAUGAAGAACGCAGCGAAAUGCGAUACGUAAUGUGAAUUGCAGAUUUCAGUGAAUCAUCGAAUCUUUGAACGCACAUUGCGCCCGCUAGUAUUCUGGCGGGCAUGCCUGUUCGAGCGUCAUUUCAACCAUCAAGCCCCCGGCUUGCGUUGGAGCCCUGCGGCUGCCGCAGGCUCCCAAAUCUAGUGGCGGGCUCGUCGUCGUACCGAGUGCAGUAAACAUCCUCGCUCAGGGAACGCGUCGGGUUCUUGUCGUGAAACCCCCCCAUAUCAAGGUUGACCUCGGAUCAGGUAGGAAUACCCGCUGAACUUAAGCAUAUCAAUAAGCGGAGGA
RNAcentral lists this unclassified non-coding RNA (331 nucleotides) under soil metagenome. RNAcentral's name for it is "partial contains 5.8S ribosomal RNA, internal transcribed spacer 2, and large subunit ribosomal RNA". The stretch from base 1 to 120 matches the Rfam family "5.8S ribosomal RNA", at positions 35 to 154 of the family's 154-position model. The record is from RNAcentral.